CGAUGUACCCAGGACUCGAACCUGGAGCCUUUGCCACCGGAAAGCAACGCGCUAGCCAUUGCGCCAGCACACC
RNAcentral lists this transfer RNA (73 nucleotides) under Fusarium acuminatum CS5907. Lineage: Eukaryota; Fungi; Ascomycota; Sordariomycetes; Hypocreales; Nectriaceae. The record is from RNAcentral.